UACGUAGGGGGGCAAGCGUUGUCCGGAUUUAUUGGGCGUAAAGCGCGUGUAGGCGGCCAGAAAAGUCCGCUGUGAAAACUCGAGGCUCAACUUCGAGCUGUCGGUGGAAACUUUCUGGCUAGAGUCCGGGAAGAGGAGAAUGGAAUCCUGGUGUAGCGGUGAAAUGCGCAGAUAUCAGGAAGAACACCCCGUGGGCGAAGGC
RNAcentral lists this ribosomal RNA (202 nucleotides) under uncultured bacterium. RNAcentral's name for it is "partial 16S ribosomal RNA". It matches the Rfam family "Bacterial small subunit ribosomal RNA", at positions 524 to 722 of the family's 1533-position model. The record is from RNAcentral.